This 850-nucleotide ribosomal RNA is filed under the name Brevibacterium sp. RNAcentral's name for it is "bacterial SSU rRNA". It matches the Rfam family "Bacterial small subunit ribosomal RNA", at positions 83 to 954 of the family's 1533-position model. Lineage: Bacteria; Bacillati; Actinomycetota; Actinomycetes; Micrococcales; Brevibacteriaceae. The record is from RNAcentral.
UGUUGGUGGUGAGUGGCGAACGGGUGAGUAACACGUGAGUAACCUGCCCCUGAUUUCGGGAUAAGCCUGGGAAACCGGGUCUAAUACCGGAUACGACCACCUGACGCAUGUUGGGUGGUGGAAAGUUUUUCGAUCGGGGAUGGGCUCGCGGCCUAUCAGCUUGUUGGUGGGGUAAUGGCCUACCAAGGCGACGACGGGUAGCCGGCCUGAGAGGGCGACCGGCCACACUGGGACUGAGACACGGCCCAGACUCCUACGGGAGGCAGCAGUGGGGAAUAUUGCACAAUGGGGGAAACCCUGAUGCAGCGACGCAGCGUGCGGGAUGACGGCCUUCGGGUUGUAAACCGCUUUCAGCAGGGAAGAAGCGAAAGUGACGGUACCUGCAGAAGAAGUACCGGCUAACUACGUGCCAGCAGCCGCGGUAAUACGUAGGGUACGAGCGUUGUCCGGAAUUAUUGGGCGUAAAGAGCUCGUAGGUGGUUGGUCACGUCUGCUGUGGAAACGCAACGCUUAACGUUGCGCGUGCAGUGGGUACGGGCUGACUAGAGUGCAGUAGGGGAGUCUGGAAUUCCUGGUGUAGCGGUGAAAUGCGCAGAUAUCAGGAGGAACACCGGUGGCGAAGGCGGGACUCUGGGCUGUAACUGACACUGAGGAGCGAAAGCAUGGGGAGCGAACAGGAUUAGAUACCCUGGUAGUCCAUGCCGUAACGUUGGGCACUAGGUGUGGGGGACAUUCCACGUUCUCCGCGCCGUAGCUAACGCAUUAAGUGCCCCGCCUGGGGGAGUACGGUCGCAAGGCUAAAACUCAAAGGAAUUGACGGGGCCCGCACAGCGCGAGCAUGCGAUAUCGA